This 497-nucleotide ribosomal RNA is filed under the name uncultured bacterium. Its description in RNAcentral is "partial 16S ribosomal RNA". It matches the Rfam family "Bacterial small subunit ribosomal RNA", at positions 28 to 507 of the family's 1533-position model. The record is from RNAcentral.
GAUGAACGCUGGCGGCGUGCCUAAUACAUGCAAGUCGAGCGAACAGACGAUGAGCUUGCUCCUCUGACGUUAGCGGCGGACGGGUGAGUAACACGUGGAUAACCUUCUUAUUAUACUGGGAUAACUACGGGAAACCGGAGACAAUACUGGAUAAUAUAUUCUACCGCAUGGAUCAAUAGUGAAAGACGGUUUUGCUGUCACUUAUAGAUGGAUCCGCGCCGCAUUAGCUAGUUGGUAAGGUAACGGCUUACCAAGGCAACGAUGCGUAGCUGACCUGAGAGGGUGAUCGGCCACACUGGAACUGAGACACGGUCCAGACUCCUACGGGAGGCAGCAGUGGGGAAUAUUGCGCAAUGGGCGAAAGCCUGACGCAGCAAUGCCGCGUGGGUGAUGAAGGUCUUCGGAUCGUAAAACUCUGUUAUUAGGAAAGAAAAAAUGUAUAAGUAACCAUGCACGUCUUGACGGUACCUAAACAGAAAGCCACGGCUAACUACGUG